UGGCUCUUAACCUUACGAUUUAUCUCAAAUUUCAUCUUUCACUAAUAAACAUAGUUCACUAUUUGAUUGGCACUAGUAAACCUUGCAAUCUGACUAUAAUUAUUCAUCCAACUCAAAGUGAAUAAGUGAUUAUUUAAUGCCGUAGAAAAGUUCAUCGAAAUUUAACGCAUUUGGAUGAGGAUCGAACGGAUUACCAGUUGAAUUCAAAGAAGUUUUUAUGUAGUUCGUUUUCUCGAUUACUAAACAAGGAAAGAUCAUGAUCAGCUCAAUUCCCUCUCCCUCCCCGUUGAAUCAGUUGACGUCCGCUCUCUCUUUUCGCGCUAAAAGUAAGACGAAGGGGCCAGCAAUUUCUGCUCGUCUUGACGAUUCUAAGAACUCAGCUAAUCAGCAACUCAAUCUCUCUGUCCUCCGGUUCACACUCGGGAUUCCUGGGUUGGAUGAGUCUUACUUACCCAGAUGGAUUGGAUAUGGAUUUGGUUCACUUCUUCUAUUGAAUCACUUUGUUGGUUCGAAUUCAGCUGCUCUCACCACCCCAGCACAAUUAAGAACUGAGGCUUUAGGCAUUUCCUUGGCAGCAUUUUCUAUUGCACUCCCCUACUUGGGAAAGUUUCUUAAGGGUGCACUUCCAUCUGGCGAAGCUAUCCUCCCUGAAGGCACUGAGCAAAUAUUUCUCUUGUCACAAAUAUUAUCGGAUAACUUGAAGGAAGACAUUGCUUGGGCAACAUACAUCUUGCUGCGCAACACAAACAGUAUAUCAGUGCUAAUUCAGACUCAAGGGGCAUUGUGUGUUCGAGGAUACUGGAAUAGUCCAAAUGAUAUAUCAUCAGCAGAUUUACUUGCCUGGUUUGAGGAGCAGCUUCAGAGCAUUGGCCUGUCUGCAUUAAAGGAUGCCGUCUAUUUCCCUCAGAUUUCAGGUUUUCAGCACUAUUUUCCAGAAUCUGGACUGUGGCAAAUGCUGCCCAAGGGCACUCGCUCGGUUUUGGUACAGCCAGUGGUUCAAAAUCUAAAGCAAAGUGGCAAUGAGGUGCAAAACAUGGGAGGAUUCAUACUGCUGGCCUCAAGUUUAAGUUAUGCAUUUAGUGAUAAAGAUAGAGCCUGGAUAAGAGCUGUUGCCAACAAGUUUGAUGACAGAGCCAUCCUCUGAUAUUCAUGUGGACCUAAGUAGUAAAUCUAUUCGAUAUUCUUUUUGACAAUUGACAUGUGCAUUUCUCUGAGUUAAAGAUGGUAACAGAUCUUGACGUGAGAACUUCGACAUGUUGCAGCAUCAAAAUCUCUUGAGAACCUUGGGUUUCCCCUGAUACUAACUCAAGUCCUUUUCUCAAAUGUCAAGAUGGUCACUCUGUCCAAUGAAAAGUGGAGGUGAAAGUUUCAGAUAGAGCUACCAGGGGAGAGUCUUCGAAGUUCUACAAAAAUUUCUCCAAGCCAUACACCAGAUUCUGUCAGCACAGAAAGGCAGCGGUUUGACAUUUUCAAUACAGGAUGAAGAAAAUCAUUCAAGAAAAACUGGAGAUGUAUGUACUGUCAUGUACUGAAGUACCUUAAGGCGCACCACUUUUCUAAUUGCCAAUAAUAAGCCUGGCAUGAGGCAUUGCACAUUUAUGAUAUCAUGUUUGAGAGUGUAAACCUGUGAUGCAAGCGAUGAUAAGUGUCGGAGAAUGACAAAACCUACCACUCUGGUUACAAAAUGAGUACGAAAGAUUAAACUAACCAGUUCCACAUCUCGAACUCGCGCCACUUCUUUCAAUUUUAGUUAAACAAGAACGCAAACACAAGCUAGAACUCACCUCUCCCGGGCGUGAGAAGUAGACAUUGGUGCUGGAAGGAAGCCCCGGAAGGACUAGACUGUGCACUCGAACUCCGUCUUCUCCAAUAACCUGCCCCCUUGCCUAGCAGGCGAAAAGGAAACAAUAAGCAAGCUAGUAUUUUUUAAAUGGACGUCUAAAUUUGAUGCUUUAGUCAUCAUGAAUUUUCAUAAUCUCUCUGGAAGUUCUAUGAAAAUCUUGUAGACAUGGUUAGGUCCGUGUUGGCCAAAUUUCUUUAAUUCAUGUCACAGUAAUCAGUUUUUCUUAUCCACAUUCUUUGACUUUAUAUGAUAAUAGUCAUAUGAUGUGAAAGUAAAAAGAAUAGUAGCUGGUACAGCAUUCUCAUAUUUUA
Molecule: RNA transcript, 2154 nt
Organism: Cucumis sativus (cucumber)
Lineage: Eukaryota; Viridiplantae; Streptophyta; Magnoliopsida; Cucurbitales; Cucurbitaceae
Gene name: protein COFACTOR ASSEMBLY OF COMPLEX C SUBUNIT B CCB2, chloroplastic
Exons: 8
Source: RefSeq, a predicted model, not a curated record